Molecule: ribosomal RNA, 1078 nt
Filed under: uncultured stramenopile
Lineage: Eukaryota
Description: SSU rRNA
Rfam family: Eukaryotic small subunit ribosomal RNA
Source: RNAcentral
CGGUAAUUCCAGCUCCAAUAGCGUAUACUAACGUUGUUGCAGUUAAAAAGCUCGUAGUUGGAUUUCUGAUUUUUGCCAAUGGUUGUGUCGCCGCGUGCGAGGCGCCUUGCGCAGAGGUCAACAUAUGCCACGAGCCAGUGUGAUCUAUUCAUUUAGGUCCACUGGGUAAUGACUCGUUUACUUUGAGAAAAUUAGAGUGUUCAAAGCAGGCAUUUGCCUUGAAUAUGUUAGCAUGGAAUAAUAGCAUAGGACUUCGGUUCUAUUUGUUGGUUGUUCGAGAACUGGAGUAAUGAUUGAUAGGGACGGUUGGGGGCAUCCGUAUUCUCAAGCGAGAGGUGAAAUUCUUGGACCUUGGGAAGACGAACAGCUGCGAAAGCGUUUGCCUAGGACGUUCUCUUUAAUCAAGAACGAAAGUUGGGGGAUCGAAGACGAUCAGAUACCGUCGUAGUCUCAACUAUAAACUAUGCCAGCUAGGGAUCGGUGGGUCUUUGUCACGAGUCCAUCGGCACCUUACGAGAAAUCAAAGCAUUUGGGUUCCGGGGGGAGUAUGGUCGCAAGGCUGAAACUUAAAGGAAUUGACGGAAGGGCACCACCAGGAGUGGAGCCUGUGGCUUAAUUUGACUCAACACGGGAAAACUUACCAGGUCCGGACAUAGUAAGGAUUGACAGAUUGAAAGCUCUUUCUUGAUUCUAUGGGUGGUGGUGCAUGGCCGUUCUUAGUUGGUGGAGUGAUUUGUCUGGUUAAUUCCGUUAACGAACGAGACCCGCGCCUGCUAAAUAGUCGGCCUCACUUCUGUGGGUGUUGUACUUCUUAGAGGGACCAUCCUGGGUAUACCGGAAGGAAGUUGCGGGCAAUAACAGGUCUGUGAUGCCCUUAGAUGUUCUGGGCUGCACACGGGCUACACUGCAAGAUACAACAAGCGUCGAUCACGCCUGACUGGAAGGUCCGGCCAAUCUUUGAAUAUCUUGCGUGAUUGGGAUAGACCAUUGCAAUUAUUGGUCUUCAACGAGGAAUUCCUAGUAAACGCGUGUCAACAACACGCAUUGAUUACGUCCCUGCCCUUUGUACACACCGCUC